AUUGAACGCUGGCGGCAGGCCUAACACAUGCAAGUCGAGCGGAUGAAGGGAGCUUGCUCCUGGAUUCAGCGGCGGACGGGUGAGUAAUGCCUAGGAAUCUGCCUGGUAGUGGGGGAUAACGUCCGGAAACGGGCGCUAAUACCGCAUACGUCCUGAGGGAGAAAGUGGGGGAUCUUCGGACCUCACGCUAUCAGAUGAGCCUAGGUCGGAUUAGCUAGUUGGUGGGGUAAAGGCCUACCAAGGCGACGAUCCGUAACUGGUCUGAGAGGAUGAUCAGUCACAAGGGAACUGAGACACGGUCCAGACUCCUACGGGAGGCAGCAGUGGGGAAUAUUGGACAAUGGGCGAAAGCCUGAUCCAGCCAUGCCGCGUGUGUGAAGAAGGUCUUCGGAUUGUAAAGCACUUUAAGUUGGGAGGAAGGGCAGUAAGUUAAUACCUUGCUGUUUUGACGUUACCAACAGAAUAAGCACCGGCUAACUUCGUG
Molecule: ribosomal RNA, 484 nt
Filed under: uncultured bacterium
Lineage: Bacteria
Description: partial 16S ribosomal RNA
Rfam family: Bacterial small subunit ribosomal RNA
Source: RNAcentral